GGGCUGCCGCUCAGUGGUAGAGUGCCUGCCUGGCACGUGUGAGGCCCUGGGUCCAAUCCUCAGCACCACA
This 70-nucleotide transfer RNA is filed under the name Marmota monax (woodchuck). RNAcentral's name for it is "tRNA.Ala". The record is from RNAcentral. Lineage: Eukaryota; Metazoa; Chordata; Mammalia; Rodentia; Sciuridae.